This 1449-nucleotide long non-coding RNA is filed under the name Manacus vitellinus (golden-collared manakin). RNAcentral describes it as "lncRNA (ENSMVIG00005001038.1)". Lineage: Eukaryota; Metazoa; Chordata; Aves; Passeriformes; Pipridae. The record is from RNAcentral.
NNNNNNNNNNCGGCCCUGUCCCUGCCUCCGGUGCCAUCCCCACUGCCCUGGGGGUGCCGAUGCCAUCCCUGCUUCCAGGUGCCCACCCCGGGGAAGCUGCAUGUCCACACUCCCAUUUUUCCUGGCGCCGGGAUCAGCCCCCGGCAUUCCCGGGGGCCGGCGGUGCCCGGGUCCCUGCCAGGCUGCCGUUCCCGCAGGUGACAGCGCGGGCAUGGCCUGUGUGUUUAUUUUUAGCGUAACCAGGAUGACACUGCUCAGCUUAAAGAGAAAUCCUGGGAGUUUCUGGCUGAUGCCGGGAACAGACCCGAGCUGGGCUGGCUGUGCCUGUACCUGGCAGUAAAUGCUCCUGGUUUGCACGAGCUCGGACACCGACACACCUGGUCACGUGUCCCUGCUAAUCCGCUUCCCAAUGGAAAGUUUUAGGGAUGCUGUUUCCCUCCUCCCCAGCGGAGUGGGAGCAGGGGCUGCCGGUGCUCAGCACCACACCUGGAUUUCAUCCUGCUUUCCCCGUUGUUCCUCCCCCUGCACACGGGAUCACACCUGUGAGACUGGGCGUGGGCCGGGUGGUUGUUUGAAAUGCAGAAUUCCCGGGAAUAGCCCAGGUAGCCACACCUUGAGGGGCUCGUCCUGCUGCAGGUUGUGUCUGGAGAGGGCUGGUCCAAAAUUCCCGGGAGGUGAGUGGGAUGGCAUCCUGCCUGCUCGGGUGGGCAGCGUGGGCCUGCAGAGGGUCACUUCCCAGGAAUCACCUCCAGCACUGCCUGCCCUGCUCGGGAGCUGCUACAGGAACCCUCCUGGAAACUCCAGGGAAUCCUUGGCAGCAGCAGCUGCGGUCUGGGGAGUUGGGCUUUUCCACAUCAGGAACCCUCAAACCUCGUCCAGAAGCGUUCAGUGGCUCCUCCCUGUCCUGCUGGAAGGUGACAUUCACACAGACCUGCCCACCCACCCGGCGCUCGGUGUUCCCGCCUGGAUCAGGAUUCCCACCCUUGGAGCAGAACAAAGUCGGGAGGGACCUGCAGGACCCGCACCCCACGUUCAGUGGGCAGUGCCAGCCCUGCCACAGGCAGUCCGUGCUAUCCAGGAGGAUUUCCAGGAGGAUGUUCCCGGAGUUGCUGCUGCCAGGAGCCAAGUCCAUGUCGGAGCGCCGGUUCGGAGCCCCCGACGCUCCCCAGGGAUCAGAGGUUCUGUAAUGGCAUCAAAUAUUGCUGCAGCAGCAUUACACAGCAGAGCCCGAGCCCUGAGCAGAACAGCAUUCCCAGGGGCUGCUCGGAGCAUCCCGGAUCCAGGGGGCAGGUGUGGUUGGAGCAUCUGCUCCCAGCACAAUGCUGUAAUCCAGAGAAUCCAUGUUCCAUCCUGGUCACCGUCCUGCCAAGGGCUUCCCAGAGCCUAGGGGUGACUGGUUGGUGCCAGCUGUGCCUGGGGAUGGACAGAUGGACAGGGACAGCCAGCAUG